UGGCUCAGGAUGAACGCUGGCGGCGUGCUUAACACAUGCAAGUCGAACGGGGCGAUUUGAAAGCUUGCUUUUGAUGAGCCUAGUGGCAAACGGGUGAGUAACGCGUAGGCAACCUGCCCUCAGGAUGGGGACAACGGCCCGAAAGGACCGCUAAUACCGAAUGACGUAUCGGGAUCGCAUGAUACUGAUACCAAAGGCGGAGCAAUCCGUCACCUGAGGAUGGGCCUGCGUCUGAUUAGGUAGUUGGUGAGGUAACGGCCCACCAAGCCGACGAUCAGUAGCCGGUCUGAGAGGAUGAACGGCCCCAUUUGGAACUGAGACACGGCCCAAACUCCUACGGGAGGCAGCAGUGGGGAAUA
Molecule: ribosomal RNA, 359 nt
Filed under: uncultured rumen bacterium
Lineage: Bacteria
Description: bacterial SSU rRNA
Rfam family: Bacterial small subunit ribosomal RNA
Source: RNAcentral